AACCUAGCACACCUGCGGUGUGUACCUGCGGAAGGAUCAUUAAAAAGAGUGUGUACCCCUCUGUAAAAUGAGUGGGUUACCUCCCGUCCUUUGUUGACCUCUUAGGAGGUUAUUUUGAACUUUCUGCUUCGGUGGGGUUAAACCUACCGGAACACCCUCAAAUUCUUAUCAUUUAAAAAUCGUUCAGUCCGAUUUUAAUAAAAUAAAACAAAAAACUUUUAACAACGGAUCUCAGAUCGG
This 240-nucleotide unclassified non-coding RNA is filed under the name soil metagenome. RNAcentral's name for it is "partial contains 5.8S ribosomal RNA, internal transcribed spacer 2, and large subunit ribosomal RNA". The record is from RNAcentral.